UGAGCAAUCUGCCCUUCUCAUCGGAAUAAGCGUUGGAAACGACGUCUAAUGCCGAAUACGACCUCCUUUCGCAUGAUCGGAGGUGGAAAGCUCCGGCGGAGAAGGAUGAGCUCGCGGCCUAUCAGCUAGUUGGUGUGGUAAUGGCCCACCAAGGCGACGACGGGUAGCCGGCCUGGAGGAGGGUGACCCGGCCACACGUGGGACUGAGACACGGCCCAGACCUCCGUACGGGAGCAG
Molecule: ribosomal RNA, 237 nt
Filed under: uncultured bacterium
Lineage: Bacteria
Description: partial 16S ribosomal RNA
Rfam family: Bacterial small subunit ribosomal RNA
Source: RNAcentral